UACCUUUCAUCGCAGCAGCUCCAGAGGGCUCCAGUGGUUUCCUCCUGAAUUAGGAAGGCCCUUCAGGGAGAAAUAGUAAUGCCAGAUAGGGUGAAAUAUGCUCUCAAUCCAUGGAACCAGAGCAUGUGGUAAACACAACUCUAAAGAAGAAGAAAAAGAUCCACCCGGCCUCUACACUUGGUGCCUUCUGCUGCGUGACUUGGUCUGACACACGGCCCUGAUGCCCACGGUCCGGCGCAGCUCUGACUCACACCUGCUAACAAAGAAACUCGAUUGGAAGUGCUGCAAUCUCAUCAGAAAAUGCUGCUUCCGGUGGUAUUUUUAACCAGGAACAGAAGCAGAAGUGUCUGGAAUCACCCGAGAAAGCCCCAGCUCUCCUGAGAGCUGUUCUCGAAUUUUGCUGGCACAGAGCGCUGGAGCAGUGAUCAGGGAGUUAAAACGGCAGAUGUUGGGGGCCUAGGGGGGAGGGAAGGCAGAUACCUGAGCGUCUCUAUCCUUCCCCCUACCUCCCUAUCUCAGAUCGCAGUAUGAAAUCAGAGCUGCUACCCACUUGCCUCAGGUCACACAGCCCAAGACUGGCACAAACGGAAGCAAACAGUUCACAACCGCCAGCCCCAGCUCUGCCUCCCUCCCAGGACGGAGGCUUGCCCUCCCUGACAUGGCCCAAGUACAGCAGCAGACAGCCGUACCUUAAAAAAAAAAAAAAAAAAAAAAAAAAAA
Molecule: long non-coding RNA, 720 nt
Organism: Canis lupus familiaris (dog)
Lineage: Eukaryota; Metazoa; Chordata; Mammalia; Carnivora; Canidae
Exons: 4
Source: RefSeq, a predicted model, not a curated record